RNAcentral lists this ribosomal RNA (289 nucleotides) under Copepoda environmental sample. RNAcentral describes it as "partial 18S ribosomal RNA". It matches the Rfam family "Eukaryotic small subunit ribosomal RNA", at positions 39 to 329 of the family's 1831-position model. Lineage: Eukaryota; Metazoa; Arthropoda; Copepoda. The record is from RNAcentral.
AAAGAUUAAGCCAUGCAUGUCUAAGUACAAGCCUCAGCAAGGUGAAACCGCGAAUGGCUCAUUAAAUCACACCUAAUGUACUGGACAGUUUCAGUUACUUGGAUAACUGCGGUAAUUCUGGAGCUAAUACAUGCGUACAAGCCCUGACUCACGGAGGGGCGCUUUUAUUAGACUAAAACCAAACGGCUUCGGCCGUUCCACUGGUGAAUCUGAAUAACUUUUUGCGGAUCGCACGGCCUUGUGCCGGCGACGUGUCCUUCCAAGGAGUGCCCUAUCAACUGUCGACUGU